This is a long non-coding RNA of Acomys russatus (golden spiny mouse), 177 nucleotides long. RefSeq lists it as uncharacterized. The transcript has 3 exons. The record is from RefSeq and is a predicted model, not a curated record. Lineage: Eukaryota; Metazoa; Chordata; Mammalia; Rodentia; Muridae.
AGUGUCUCUUCUGUCUGCUACUAUCCAGCCUUCCCUGUAUAGGUGAUACCAAGCCUCCCUAUACACAUGUGUGCAUCACUGUAUAGGUGAUACCAAGCCUCCCUAUACACAUGUGUGCAUCACUGUAUAGGUGAUAGCAAGCCUCCCUAUACACAUGUGUGCAUCACUGUAUAGGUG